RNAcentral lists this long non-coding RNA (30628 nucleotides) under Sorghum bicolor (sorghum). RNAcentral describes it as "long non-coding RNA (SBIC_LNC010496)". Lineage: Eukaryota; Viridiplantae; Streptophyta; Magnoliopsida; Poales; Poaceae. The record is from RNAcentral.
AGACCUAACCAGUAACAAGAUCUCGACCAGGACACAAACUCAACACUACGGACUCUGAAACUGAAAUAUGCAAAGGCUAUGGCGCAGAUGGGUUGUAGGACAUGAAAACAAUAUAGCACUAGACUUUUAGGACGAACACAAGGACACUCGAAACUAAGGAUAGAUGUGAACCUAACGGUACGUCUGAAGCUUUGAUUACCACUUGAGGAGAACAAGUGUGGCCCGAUCUUCCGAAAGGUUCUGGUAACUAUCGAUUUGGUGGAAACGAGACGCAAAUCAAUCCACCUUGCGAACAACACGAUUUGAAACCCUACAAUUCUUUUUUUUAUUUGAUAUUUUUCUUUUACUUAGGAGCACCAAAGAAGUAGCCACAGGAAAUUUGAGCUUAAACAAGUGAAAGACGUGGCCUGUGGAAUUUUUUGUAGAUUGCGAAAAAUAUGAAAAUAAACUUUAGGAGGUGAAAACUCAAACAUCAGAGGCGAAUUUGGGGAUUCUAAAUUUGUCGAACCCGCUCUUUGCGAGGAUAGACAGACCCAAAAAUUUUUUCUGAUUGAUUUUGAUAUAUGGCACGUCAAAAUCGGAGUUCGUAUGCGAAAGUUAUGGCUGUUUUACGAAUGGACUCCGAAUUAGAGGACAAAACGGUCCGGAAGUGGGAAAAAUUUGUGGUGGUGGCUAGAAAUUGAUGGAAACGGUGGGAAGAAACACACAAAUUGGACUCUAACAAGACCUAACCAGUAACAAGACCUCGACCAGGAUACAAACUCAACACUACGGACUAUGAAACUGAAAUAUGCAAAGGGUAUGGCGCAGAUGGGUUGUGGGACAUGAAAACAGUAUGGCACCAGACUUAUGGGACGAACACAAGGACACUCGAAAUUAAGGGUAGAUGUGAACCUAACUGUAUGUCUGAAGCUUUGAUUACCACUUGAGGAGAAUAUGUGUGGCCCAAUCUUCUGAAAGGUUCUGGUAACUAUCGAUUUGGUGGAAAAGAGACACAAAUCAAUCCAGCUUGCGAACAACACGGUUCGAAACCUGCAAUUCUUUUUAUUUUUGUUGAUAUUUUUCAUUUACUUAGGAGCACUCAUGAAGUAACCACAGGAAAUUUGAGCUUAAACAAUUGAAAGACGUGGCCUGUGGAAUUUUUUGAAGAUUACAAAAAAUAUAAAAAAACUUUAGGAGGUCAAAACUCAAACUUCAGGGGCGAAUUUGGGGAUUCUAAAAUUAUUGAACCCGCCUCUAGCAGAGAUAGAUAGAUCCAAAAAUUUGUUCUGAUCGAUUUUGAUAUAUGGAACGUCAAAAUCGGACUUCGUAUGCGAAAGUUAUGGUUGUUUUACGAACGGACUCCGAAUUAGAGGACAAAACGGUCCGGAAGUGAGAAAAAUUUGCGGUGGUGGCUAGAAAUUGAUGGAAACGGUGGGAAAAAACACACAAAUUGGACUCAAACAAGACCUAACCAGUAACAAGACCUCGACCAGGACACAAACGCAAAACUACGGAUUCUGAAACUGAAAUAUGCAAAGGUUAUAGCGCGGAUGGGUUGUACGACAUGAAAACAAUAUGGCACUAGACUUAUGAGACGAGCACAAGGACACUCGAAACUAAGGGUAGAUGUGAACCUAACGGUAUGUCUGAUGCUUUGAUUACCACUUGAGGAGAACAAGUGUGGCCCGAUCUUCCAAAAGGUUCUAGAAACUAUCGAUUAAGUGGAAACGAGACACAAAUCAAUCCAGCUUGCGAACAACACGAUUCGAAACCCUACAAUUCUUUUUAUUUUUUUUGAUAUUUUUCUUUUACUUAGGAGCACUCAAGAAGUAACCAUAGGAAAUUUGAGGUUAAACAAGUGAAAGACGUGAGCUGUGGAAACUUUUGAAAAUUGCGAAAAAUAUGAAAAAAACUUUUGGAGGUGAAAACUCAAACUUUGGAGGUGAAUUUGGGGAUUCUAAAAUUGUCAAACCCGCACACGGCGGGGAUAGACAGAUCCAAAAAUUUGGUUUGAUCGAUUUUGAUAUAUGGAACGUCAAAAUCGGAGUUCGUAUGCGAAUGUUAUGUCUGUUUUACGAACGGACACCGAAUUAGAAGACAAAACGGUCCGGAAGUGGGAAAAAUUUGCGGCGGUGGCUAGAAAUUGAUGGAAACAGUGGGAAGAAACACACAAAUUAGACUCUAACAAGACCUAACCAGUAACAAGAUCUCGACCAGGAGACAAACUCAACACUACGGACUCUGAAACUGAAAUAUGCAAAGGCUAUGACGCGGAUGGGUUGUAGGACAUGAAAACAAUAUAGCACUAGACUUAUGGGACGAACACAAGGACACUCGAAACUAAGGAUAGAUGUGAAACUAACGGUACAUCUGAAGCUUUGAUUACCAAUUGAGGAGAACAAGUGUGGCCCGAUCUUCCGAAAGGUUCGGGUAACUAUCGAUUUGGUGGAAACGAGACCCAAAUCAGUCCACCUUGCGAACAACACGAUUCGAAACCCUACAAUUCUUUUCAUUUUUUUUAUUUGAUAUUUUGUUUUACUUAGGAGCACCGAAGAAGUAGCCAUAGAAAAUUUGAGCUUAAACAAGUGAAAGACGUGGCCUGUGGAAUUUUUUGUAGAUUGCGAAAAAUAUGAAAAUAAACUUUAGGAGGUGAAAACUCAAAUUUAGAGGCGAAUUUGGGGAUUCUAAAUUUGUCGAACCCGCCUACGGGGGGAUAGACAGACCCAAAAAUUUUUUCUGAUUGAUUUUGAAAUACAUUGAUUUUGAUAUAUGGAACAUCAAAACCGGAGUUCGUAUGCGAAAGUUAUGGUUGUUUUACGAACGGACUCCGAAUUAGAGGACAAAACAGUCCGGAAGUGGGAAAAAGUUGCGGCGGUGGCUAUAAAUUGAUGGAAAUGGUGGGAAGAAACACAUGAAUUGGACUCUAACAAGACCUAACCAGUAACAAGAUCUCGACCAGGACACAAACUCAACACUACGGACUCUGAAACUGAAAUAUGCACAGGCUAUGGCGCGGAUGGGAUGUAGGACAUGAAAACAAUAUAGCAGUAGACUUAUGGGACGAACACAAGGACACUUGAAACUAAGGAUAGAUGUGAACCUAACGGUACGUCUGAAGCUUUGAUUAACACUUGAGGACAACAAGUGUGUCCCGAUCUUCCGAAAGGUUCUGGUAACUAUCGAUUUGGUGGAAACGAGACCCAAAUCAAUCCACCUUGCGAACAACGCGGUUUGAAACCCUGCAAUUCUUUUUAUUUUUUUGAUAUUUUUCUUUUACUUAGGAGCACUCAAGAAGUAACCACAGAAAAUUUGAGCUUAAAUAAGUGAAAGACGUGGUAUGUGGAAUUUUUUGAAGAUUGCGAAAAAUAUGAAAAUAAACUUUAGGAGGUGAAAACUCAAAAUUAGAGGCGAAUUUGGGGAUUCUAAAUUUGUCGAACCCACCAAUGGUGGGGAUAGACAGACCCAAAAAUUUUUUCUGAUUGAUUUUGAUUUAUGGAACGUCAAAAUCGGAGAUCGUAUGCGAAAGUUAUGGUUGUUUUAAGAACGGACUCAGAAUUAGAGGACAAAACGGUCCGGAAGUGGGAAAAUUUUGCGGUGGUGGCUAUAAAUUGAUGGAAACGGUGGGAAUAAACACACAAAUUGGACUCUAACAAGACCUAACCAGUAACAAGAUCUUGACCAGGACACAAACUCAACACUACGGACUCUGAACUGCAAUGGCUAUGGCGCGGAUGGGUUGUAGGACAUGAAAACAAUAUAGCACUAGACUUAUGGGACGAACACAAGGACACUCGAAACUAAGGAUAUAUGUGAACCUAACGGUACGUCUGAAGCUUUGAUUAACACUUGGGGAGAACAAGUGUGGCCCGAUCUUCCGAAUGGUUCUGGUAACUAUCGAUUUGGUGGAAACGAGACACAAAUCAAUCCAGCUUACGAACAACACGAUUCGAAACCCUACAAUUCUUUUUAUUUUUUGUUUGAUAUUUUUAUUUUACUUAGGAGCACUCAAGAAGUAAGCACAUGAAAUUUGGGCUUAAACAAGUGAAAGACGUGACCUGUGGAAACUUUUGAAAAUUGCGAAAAAUAUGAAAAAAACUUUUGGAGGUGAAACCUCAAACUUUAGAGUGGAAUUUGGGGAUUUUUAAUUUGUUGAACCUGCCUAUGGGGGGAUAGACAGACCCAAAAAAUUUUUCUGAUUGAUUUUGAUAUAUGGAACGUCAAAAUCGGAGUUCGUAUGCGAAAGUUAUGGCUGUUUUACGAAUGGACUCCGAAUUAUAGGACAAAACAGUCCGGAAGUGGGAAAAAUUUGCGGCGGUGGCUAUAAGUUGAUGGAAACGGUGGGAAGAAACAUACAAAUUGGACUCUAACAAGACCUAACCAGUAACAAGAUCUCGACCAGGACACAAACUCAACACUACGGACUCUGAAACUGAAAUAUGCAAAGGCUAUGGCGCGGAUGGGUUGUAGGACAUGAAAACAAUAUAGCACUAGACUUAUGGGACGAACACAAGGACACUCGAAACUAAGGGUAGAUGUGAACCUAACGGUACGUCUGAAGCUUUGAUUACCACUUGAGGAGAACAAGGCCCGAUCUUCCGAAAGGUUCUGGUAACUAUCGAUUUGGUGGAAACGAGACACAAAUCAAUCCAGUUUGCGAACAACACGAUUCGAAACCCUGCAAUUCUUUUUUUUUUGAUAUUUUUCUUUUACUUAGGAGCACUGAAGAAGUAACCACAUGAAAUUUGAGCUUAAACAAGUGAAGGACGUGGCCUGUGGAAUUUUUUGAAGAUUGCGAAAAAUAUGAAAAUAAAGUUUAGGAGGUGAAAACUCAAAUUUUCAGAGGCGAGUUUGGGAAUUCUAAAUUUGUCGCACCCGCCUAUGGCGGGGAUAGACAGAUCCAAAAAUUUUUCUUAUCGAUUUUGAUAUAUGGAACGUCAAAAUCGGAGUUCGUAGGCGAAAGUUAUGGCUGUUUUACGAAUGGACUCUGAAUUAGAGGACAAAACGGUCCGGAAGUGGGAAAAAUUUGCGUUGGUGGCUAGAAAUUGAUGGAAACGGUGGGAAAAAACACACAAACUGGACUCUAACAAGACCAAAUCAGUAACAAGACCUCGACCAGGACACAAACUCAACACUAUGGAGUCUGAAACUGAAAUAUGCAAAGGUUAUGGCGCGGAUGGGUUGUAGGACAUGAAAACAAUUUGGCACUAGACUUAUGGGACGAACACAAGGACACUCAAAACUAAGGGUAGAUGUGAACCUAACGGUACGUCUGAAGCUUUGAUUACCACUUGAGGAGAACAAGGCCCGAUCUUCCGAAAGGUUCUGGUAACUAUCGAUUUGGUGGAAACGAGACACAAAUCAAUCCAGUUUGCGAACAACACGAUUUGAAACCCUGCAAUUCUUUUUAUUUUUUUGAUAUUUUUCUUUUACUUAGAAGCACUCAAAAAGUAACCACAGGAAAUUUGAGCUUAAACAAGUGAAGGACGUGGCCUGUGGAAUUUUUUGAAGAUUGCGAAAAAUAUGAAAAUAAAGUUUAGGAGGUGAAAACUCAAAUUUUUAGAGGCGAGUUUGGGAAUUCUAAAUUUGUCGCACCCGCCUAUGGUGGGGAUAGACAGAUCCAAAAAUUUUUCUGAUUGAUUUUGAUAUAUGGAACGUCAAAAUCGGAGUUCGUAGGCGAAAGUUAUGGCUGUUUUACGAACGGACUCUGAAUUAGAGGACAAAACGGUCCGGAAGUGGGAAAAUUUUGCGGUGGUGGCUAUAAAUUGAUGGAAACGGUGGGAAGGAACACACAAAUUGGACUCUAACAAGACCUAACCAGUAACAAGAUCUCGACCAGGACAAAAACUCAACACUACGGACUCUGAAACUGAAAUAUGCAAAGGCUAUGGCGCGGAUGGGUUGUAGGACAUGAAAACAAUAUAGCACUAGACUUAUGGGACGAACACAAGGACACUCGAAACUAAGGGUAGAUGUGAACCUAACGGUACGUCUGAAGCUUUGAUUACCACUUGAGGAGAACAAGGCCCGAUCUUCCGAAAGGUUCUGGUAACUAUCGAUUUGGUGGAAACGAGACACAAAUCAAUCCAGUUUGCGAACAACACGAUUCGAAACCCUGCAAUUCUUUUUUUUUGAUAUUUUUCUUUUACUUAGGAGCACUGAAGAAGUAACCACAUGAAAUUUGAGCUUAAACAAGUGAAGGACGUGGCCUGUGGAAUUUUUUGAAUAUUGCGAAAAAUAUUAAAAUAAAGUUUAGGAGGUGAAAACUCAAAUUUUCAGAGGCGAGUUUGGGAAUUCUAAAUUUGUCGCACCCGCCUAUGGCGGGGAUAGACAGAUCCAAAAAUUUUUCUGAUCGAUUUUGAUAUAUGGAACGUCAAAAUCGGAGUUCGUAGGCGAAAGUUAUGGCUGUUUUACGAACGGACUCUAAAUUAGAGGACAAAACGGUCCGGAAGUGGGAAAAAUUUGCGGUGGUGGCUAGAAAUUGAUGGAAACGGUGGGAAAAAACACACAAACUGGACUCUAACAAGACCAAAUCAGUAACAAGACCUCGACCAGGACACAAACUCAACACUAUGGAGUCUGAAACUGAAAUAUGCAAAGGUUAUGGCGCGGAUGGGUUGUAGGACAUGAAAACAAUUUGGCACUAGACUUAUGGGACGAACACAAGGACACUCGAAACUAAGGGUAGAUGUGAACCUAACGGUACGUCUGAAGCUUUGAUUACCACUUGAGGAGAACAAGGCCCGAUCUUCUGAAAGGUUCUGGUAACUAGCGAUUUGGUGGAAACGAGACACAAAUCAAUUCAGUUUGCGAACAACACGAUUCGAAACCCUGCAAUUCUUUUUAUUUUUUUGAUAUUUUUCUUUUACUUAGGAGCACUCAAGAAGUAACCACAGGAAAUUUGAGCUUAAACAAGUGAAGGACGUGGCCUGUGGAAUUUUUUGAAGAUUUCGAAAAAUAUGAAAAUAAACUUUAGGAGGUGAAAACUCAAAUUUUCAGAGGCGAGUUUGGGAAUUCUAAAUUUGUCGCACCCGCUAAGGUGGGGAUAGACAGAUCCAAAAAUUUUUCUGAUCGAUUUUGAUAUAUGGAACGUCAAAAUCGGAGUUCGUAGGUGAAAGUUAUGGCUGUUUUACGAACGGACUCUGAAUUAGAGGAUAAAACGGUCCGGAAGUGGGAAAAUUUUGCGGUGGUGGCUAUAAAUUGAUGGAAACGGAGGGAAGAAACACACAAAUUGGACUCUAACAAGACCUAACCAGUAACAAGAUCUCGACCAGGACACAAACUCAACACUACGGACUCUGAACUGAAAUAUGCAAAGGCUAUGGCGCGGAUGGGUUGUAGGACAUGAAAACAAUAUAGCACUAGACUUAUGGGACGAACACAAGGACACUCGAAACUAAGGAUAGAUGUGAACCUAACGGUACGUCUGAAGCUUUGAUUAACACUUGAGGAGAACAAGUGUGGCCCGAUCUUCCGAAUGGUUCUAGUAACUAUCAAUUUGGUGGAAACGAGACCCAAAUCAAUCCACCUUGCGAACAACGCGGUUCAAAACCCUGCAAUUCUUUUUAUUUUUUUUUUGAUAUUUUUCUUUUACCUAGGAGCACUCAAGAAUUAACCAUUGGAAAUUUGAGCUUAAACAAGUGAAAGACGUGGCCUGUGAAAUUUUUUGAAGAUUGCAAAAAAUAUAAAAAAACUUUAGGAGGUGAAAACUCAAACUUCAGGUGCGAAUUUGGGGAUUCUAAAAUUAUCGAACCCUCCUCUAGCAGAGAUGGACAGAUCCAAAAAUUUGUUCCGAUCGAUUUUAAUAUAUGGAACGUCAAAAUCGGAGUUCGUAUGCGAAAGUUAUGUCUGUUUUACGAACGGACUCCGAAUUAGAGGACAAAACGGUCCAGAAGUGGGGAAAAUUUGUGGUGGUGGCUAGAAAUUGAUGGAAACGGUGGGAAAAAACACACAAACUGGACUCUAACAAGACCAAAUCAGUAACAAGACCUCGACCAGGACACAAACUCAACACUACGGACUCUGAAACUGAAAUAUGCAAAGGUUAUGGCGCGGAUGGGUUGUAGGACAUGAAAACAAUUUGGCACUAGACUUAUGGGAUGAAUACAAGGACACUCGACACUAAGGGUAGAUGUGAACCUAACGGUACGUCUGAAGCUUUGAUUACCACUUAAGGAGAACAAGGCCCGAUCUUCCGAAAGGUUCUGUGGUAACUAUCGAUUUGGUGGAAACGAGACAGAAAUCAAUCCAGUUUGCGAACAACAUGAUUCGAAACCCUGCAAUUCUUUUUUUUGAUAUUUUUCUUUUACUUAGGAGCACUGAAGAAGUAACCACAAGAAAUUUGAACUAAAACAAGUGAAGGACGUGGCCUGUGGAAUUUUUUGAAGAUUGCGAAAAAUAUGAAAAUAAAGUUUAGGAGGUGAAAACUCAAAUUUUCAGAGGCGAGUUUGGGAAUUCUAAAUUUGUCGCACCCGCCUAUGGCGGGGAUAGACAGAUCCACAAAUUUUUCUGAUCGAUUUUGAUAUAUGGAACGUCAAAAUCGGAGUUCGUAGGCGAAAGUUAUGGCUGUUUUACGAACGGACUCUGAAUUAGAGGACAAAACGGUCCGGAAGUGGGAAAAUUUUGCGGUGGUGGCUAUAAAUUGAUAGAAACGGUGGGAAGAAACACACAAAUGGGACUCUAACAAGACCUAACCAGUAACAAGAUCUCGACCAGGACACAAACUCAACACUACGGACUCUGAACUGAAAUAUGGAAAGGCUAUGGCGUGGAUGGGUUGUAGGACAUGAAAACAAUAUAGCACUAGACUUUUGGGACAAACACAAGGACACUCGAAACUAAGGAUAGAUGUGAACCUAACGGUACAUCUGAAGCUUUGAUUAACACUUGAGGAGAACAAGUGUGGCCCGAUCUUCCGAAAGGUUCUACUAACUAUCAAUUUGGUGGAAACGAGACCCAAAUGAAUCCACCUUGCGAACAACGCGGUUCGAAACCCUGCAAUUCUUUUUUAUUUUUUUUGAUAUUUUUCUUUUACUUAGGAGUACUCAAGAAGUAACCACACGAAAUUUGAGCUUAAAAAAGUGAAAGACGUGGCCUGUGGAAUUUUUUGAAGAUUGCAAAAAAUAUAAAAAACUUUAGGAGGUGAAAACUCAAAAUUCAGGGGCGAAUUUGGGGAUUCUAAAAUUAUCAAACCCACCUCUAGCGGAGAUAGACAGAUCCAAAAAUUUGUUCUGAUCGAUUUUGAUAUAUGGAACGUCAAAAUCGGAGUUCGUAUGCGAAAGUUAUGGCUGUUUUACGAACGGACUCCGAAUUAGAGGACAAAACGGUCCGGAAGUGGGAAAAAUUUGUGGUGGUGGCUAGAAAUUGAUGGAAACGGUGGGAAAAAACAUACAAACUGGACUCUAACAAGACCAAAUCAGUAACAAGACCUUGACUAGGACACAAACUCAACACUACGGACUCUGAAACUGAAAUAUGCAAAGGUUAUGGCGCAGAUGGAUUGUAGGACAUGAAAACAAUUUGACACUAGACUUAUGGGACGAACACAAGGACACUCGAAACUAAGGGUACAUGUGAACCUAACGGUACGUCUGAAGCUUUGAUUACCACUUGAGGAGAACAAGGCCCGAUCUUCCGAAAGGUUCUGGUAACUAUCGAUUUGGUGGAAACGAGGCACAAAUCAAUCCAGUUUGCGAACAACACGAUUCGAAACCCUGCAAUUCUUUUUUUUAUAUAUUUUUCUUUUACUUAGGAGCACUGAAGAAGUAACCACAAGAAAUUUGAGCUUAAACAAGUGAAGGACAUGGCCUGUGGAAUUUUUUGAAGAUUGUGAAAAAUAUGAAAAUAAAGAUUAGGAGGUGAAAACUCAAAUUUUCAGAGGCGAGUUAGGGAAUUCUAAAUUUGUCGCACCCGCCUAUGGCGGGGAUAGACAAAUCCAAAAUUUUUUCUGAUCGAUUUUGAUAUAUGGAACGUCAAAAUCGGAGUUCGUAGGCGAAAGUUAUGGCUGUUUUACGAACCGACUCUGAAUUAGAGGACAAAACGGUCCGGAAGUGGGAAAAAUUUGCGGUGGUGGCUAUAAAUUGAUGGAAACGGUGGGAAGAAACACACAAAUUGGACUCUAACAAGACCUAACCAGUAACAAGAUCUCGACCAGGACACAAACUCAACACUACGGACUCUAAAACUGAAAUAUGCAAAGGCUAUGGCGCAGAUGGGUUGUAGGACAUGAAAACAAUAUAGCACUAGACUUAUGGGACGAACACAAGGACACUCGAAACUAAGGAUAGAUGUGAACCUAACGGUACGUCUGAAGCUUUGAUUAACACUUGAGGAGAACAAGUGUGGCCCGAUCUUUCGAAAGGUUCUAGUAACUAUCAAUUUGGUGGAAACGAGAUCCAAAUCAAUCCAUCUUGCGAAGAACGCGGUUCGAAACCCUGCAAUUCUUUUUUUUUGAUAUUUUUCUUUUACUUGGGAGCACUGAAGAAGUAACCACAGGAAAUUUGAGCUUAAACAAGUGAAAGACUUGGCCUGUGGAAUUUUUUGAAUAUUGCGAAAAAUAUAAAAAAACUUUAGGAGGUGAAAACUCAAACUUCAGGGGUGAAUUUGGGGAUUCUAAAAUUAACGAACCCACCUCUAGCGGAGAUAGACAGAUCCAAAAAUUUCUUCUCAUCGAUUUUGAUAUAUGGAACGUCAAAAUCGGAGUUCGUAUGCGAAAGUUAUGGCUGUUUUAGGAACGGACUCCGAAUUAGAGGACAAAACGGUCCGGAAGUGGGAAAAAUUUGUGGUGGUGGCUAGAAAUUGAUGGAAACGGUGGGAAAAAACACGCAAACUGGACUCUAACAAGACCAAAUCAGUAACAAGACCUUGACCAGGACACAAACUCAACAUUACGGACUCUGAAACUGAAAUAUGCAAAGGUUAUGGCGCGGAUGGGUUGUAGGACAUGAAAACAAUUUGGCACUAGACUUAUGGGACGAACACAAGGACACUCGAAACUAAGGGUAGAUGUGAACCUAACGGUACGUCUGAAGCUUUGAUUACCACUUGAGGAGAACAAGGCCCGAUCUUCCGAAAGGUUCUGGUAACUAUCGAUUUGGUGGAAACGAGACACAAAUCAAUCCAGUUUGCUAACAACACGAUUCGAAACCCUGCAAUUCUUUUUUUUUAUAUAUUUUUCUUUUACUUAGGAGCACUGAAGAAGUAACCACAAGAAAUUUGAGCUUAAACAAGUGAAGGACAUGGCUUGUGGAAUUUUUUGAAGAUUGCGAAAAAUAUGAAAAUAAUGUUUAGGAGGUGAAUACUCAAAUUUUCAGAGGCGAGUUUGGGAAUUCGAAAUAUGUCGCACCCGCCUAUGGCGGGGAUAGACAGAUCCACAAAAUUUUCUGAUCGAUUUUGAUAUAUGGAACGUCAAAAUCGGAGUUCGUAGGCGAAAGUUAUGGCUGUUUUACGAACGGACUCUGAAUUAGAGGACAAAACGGUCCGGAAGUGGGAAAAUUUUGCGGUGGUGGCUACAAAUUGAUAGAAACGGUGGGAAGAAACACACAAAUUGGACUCUAACAAGACCUAGCCAGUAACAAGAUCUCGACCAGGACACAAACUCAACACUACGGACUCUGAACUGAAAUAUGGAAAGGCUAUGGCGCGGAUGGGUUGUAGGACAUGAAAACAAUAUAGCACUAGACUUUUGGGACAAACACAAGGACACUCGAAACUAAGGAUAGAUGUGAACCUAACGGUACAUCUGAAGCUUUGAUUAACACUUGAGGAGAACAAGUGUGGCCCGAUCUUCCGAAAGGUUCUACUAACUAUCAAUUUGGUGGAAACGAGACCCAAAUCAAUCCACCUUGCGAACAACGCGGUUCGAAACCCUGCAAUUCUUUUUUAUUUUUUUUUGAUAUUUUUCUUUUACUUAGGAGCACUCAAGAAGUAACCACACGAAAUUUGAGCUUAAAAAAGUGAAAGACGUGGCCUGUGGAAUUUUUUGAAGAUUGCAAAAAAUAUAAAAAAAACUUUAGGAGGUGAAAACUCAAAAUUCAGGGGCGAAUUUGGGGAUUCUAAAAUUAUCGAACCCACCUCUAGCGGAGAUAGACAGAUCCAAAAAUUUGUUCUGAUCGAUUUUGAUAUAUUGAACGUCAAAAUCGGAGUUCGUAUGCGAAAGUUAUGGCUGUUUUACGAACGGACUCUGAAUUAGAGGACAAAACGGUCCGGAAGUGGGAAAAAUUUACGGUGGUGGCUAGAAAUUGAUGGAAACAGUGGGAAAAAACACACAAACUGGAAUGUAACAAGACCUAACCAGUAACAAGACCUCGACCAGGACACAAACUCAACACUACGGACUCUGAAACUGAAAUAUGCAAAGGUUGUGGCGCGGAUGGGUUGUAGGAAAUGAAAACAAUUUGGCACUAGACUUAUGGGACGAAGACAAGGACACUCGAAACUAAGGGUAGAUGUGAACCUAACGAUACGUAUGAAGCUUUGAUUACAACUUCAGGAGAACAAGGCCCGAUCUUCCGAAAGGUUCUGGUAACUAUCAAUUUGGUGGAAACGAGACCCAAAUCAGUCCACCUUGCGAACAACGCGGUUCGAAACCCUGCAAUUCUUUUUAUUUUUUUUGAUAUUUUUUAUUUACUUAGGAGCACUCAAGAAGUAACCACCGGAAAUUUGAGCUUAAACAAGUUAAAGACGUGGCCUGUGGAAUUUUUUGAAGAUUGCGAAAAAUAUAAAAAAAACUUUAGGACGUGAAAACUCAAACUUCAGGGGCGAAUUUGGGGAUUCUAAAAUUAUCGCACCUGCCUCUAGCAGAGAUAGACAGAUCCAAAAAUUUGUUCUGAUCGAUUUUGAUAUAUGGAACGCCAAAAUCGGAGUUCGUAUGCGAAAGUUAUGGCUGUUUUGCGAACGGACUCUGAAUUAGAGGACAAAACGGUCCGGAAUUGGGAAAAAUUUGUGGUGGUGGCUAGAAAUUGAUGGAAACGGUGGGAAAAAACACACAAACUGGACUCUAACAAGACCAAAUCAGUAACAAGACCUUGACCAGGACACAAACUCAACACUACGGACUCUGAAACUGAAAUAUGCAAAGGUUAUGGCGCGGAUGGGUUGUAGGACAUGAAAACAAUUUGGCACUAGACUUAUGGGACGAACACAAGGACACUCGAAACUAAAGGUAGAUGUGAACCUAACGGUACGUCUGAAGCUUUGAUUACCACUUGAGGAGAACAAGGCUUGAUCUUCCGAAAGGUUGUGGUAACUAUCGAUUUGGUGGAAACGAGACACAAAUCAAUCCAGUUUGCUAACAACACGAUUCGAAACCCUGCAAUUCUUUUUUUUAUAUAUUUUUCUUUUACUUAGGAGCACUGAAGAAGUAACCACAAGAAAUUUGAGCUUAAACAAGUGAAGGACAUGGCCUGUGGAAUUUUUUGAAGAUUGCGAAAAAUAUGAAAAUAAUGUUUAGGAGGUGAAUACUCAAAUUUUCAGAGGCGAGUUUGGGAAUUCUAAAUUUGUCACACCCGCCUAUGGCGGGGAUAGACAAAUCCAAAAAUUUUUUUGAUCGAUUUUGAUAUAUGGAACGUCAAAAUCAGAGUUCGUAGGCGAGAGUUAUGGCUGUUUUACGAACAGACUCUGAAUUAGAGGACAAAACGGUCCGGAAGUGGGAAAAAUUUGCGGUGGUGGCUAUAAAUUGAUGGAAACAGUGGGAAGAAACACACAAAUUGGACUCUAACAAGACCUAACUAGUAACAAGAUCUCGACCAGGACACAAACUCAACACUACGGACUCUGAAACUGAAAUAUGCAAAGGCUAUGGCGCGGAUGGGUUGUAGGACAUGAAAACAAUAUAGCACUAGACUUAUGGGACGAACACAAGGACACUCGAAACUAAGGAUAGAUGUGAACCUAACGGUACGUCUGAAGCUUUGAUUAACACUUGAGGAGAACAAGUGUGGCCCGAUCUUCCGAAAGGUUCUAGUAACUAUCAAUUUGGUGGAAACGAGAUCCAAAUCAACCCAUCUUGCGAACAACGCGGUUCGAAACCCUGCAAUUCUUUUUUUUUGAUAUUUUUCUUUUACUAAGGAGCAGUCAAGAAGUAACCACAGGAAAUUUGAGCUUAAACAAGUGAAAGACUUGGCCUGUGGAAUUUUUUGAAUAUUGCAAAAAAUAUAAAAAAACUUUAGGAAGUGAAAACUCAAACUUCAGGGGCGAAUUUGGGGAUUCUAAAAUUAUCGAACCCACCUCUAGCGAAGAUAGACAGAUCCAAAAAUUUCUUCUCAUCGAUUUUGAUAUAUGGAACGUCAAUAUCUGAGUUCGUAUGCGAAAGUUAUGGCUGUUUUACGAACGAACUCCGAAUUUGAGGACAAAACGGUCCGGAAGUGGGAAAAAUUUGUGGUGGUGGCUAGAAAUUGAUGGAAACGGUGGGAAAAAACACACAAACUGGACUCUAACAAGACCAAAUCAGUAACAAGACCUCGACCAGGACACAAACUCAACACUACGGACUCUGAAACUGAAAUAUGCAAAGGUUGUGGCGCGGAUGGGUUGUAGGAAAUGAAAACAAUUUGGCACUAGACUUAUGGGACGAAGACAAGGACACUCGAAACUAAGGGUAGAUGUGAACCUAACGGUACGUAUGAAGCUUUGAUUACAACUUCAGGAGAACAAGGCCCGAUCUUCCGAAAGGUUCUGGUAACUAUCGAUUUGGUGGAAACGAGACCCAAAUCAGUCCACCUUGCGAACAACGCGGUUCGAAACCCUGCAAUUCUUUUUAUUUUUUUUGAUAUUUUUUAUUUACUUAGGAGCACUCAAGAAGUAACCACCGGAAAUUUGAGCUUAAAUAAGUUAAAGACGUGGCCUGUGGAAUUUUUUGAAGAUUGCGAAAAAUAUAAAAAAAACUUUAGGAGGUGAAAACUCAAACUUCAGGGGCGAGUUUGGGGAUUCUAAAAUUAUCGCACCCGCCUCUAGCCAAGAUAGACAGAUCCAAAAAUUUGUUCUCAUCGAUUUUGAUAUAUGGAACGUCAAAAUCGGAGUUCGUAUGCGAAAGUUAUGGCUGUUUUGCGAACGGACUCCGAAUUAGAGGACAAAACGGUCUGGAAUUGGGAAAAAUUUGUGGUGGUGGCUAGAAAUUGAUGGAAACGGUGGGAAAAAACACACAAACUAGACUCUAACAAGACCAAAUCAGUAACAAGACCUUGACCAGGACACAAACUCAACACUACGGACUCUGAAACUGAAAUAUGCAAAGGUUAUGGCGCGGAUGGGUUGCAGGACAUGAAAACAAUUUGGCACUAGACUUAUGGGACGAACACAAGGACACUCGAAACUAAAGGUAGAUGUGAACCUAACGGUACGUCUGAAGCUUUGAUUACCACUUGAGGAGAACAAGGCCUGAUCUUCUGAAAGGUUGUGGUAACUAUCGAUUUGGUGGAAACGAGACACAAAUCAAUCCAGUUUGCGAACAACACGAUUGGAAACCCAGCAAUUCUUUUUUUUUUAUGUUUUUAUUUUACUUAGGAGCACUCAAGAAGUAACCACAAGAAAUUUGAGCUUAAACAAGUGAAGGACGUGGCCUGUGGAAUUUUUUGAAGUUUGCGAAAAAUAUGAAAAUAAUGUUUAGGAGGUGAAAACUCAAAUUUUCAGAGGCGAGUUUGGGAAUUCUAAAUUUGUCGCACCCGCCUAUGGCGGGGAUAGAUAGAUCUAAAAAAUUUUCUGAUCGAUUUUGAUAUAUGGAACGUCAAAAUCGGAGUUCGUAGGCGAAAGUUAUGGCUGUUUUACGAACGGACUCUGAAUUAGAGGACAAAUCGGUCCGGAAGUGGGAAAGUUUUGCGGUGGUGGUUAUAAAUUGAUGGAAACGGUGGGAAGAAACACACAAAUUGGACUCUAACAAGACCUAACCAGUAACAAGAUCUCGACCAGGACACAAACUCAACACUACGGACUGAACUGAAAUAUGCAAAGGCUAUGGCGCGGAUGGGUUGUAGGACAUGAAAACAAUAUAGCACUAGACUUAUGGGACGAACACAAGGACACUCGAAACUAAAGAUAGAUGUGAACCUAACGGUACGUCUGAAGCUUUGAUUAACACUUGAGGAGAACAAGUGUGGCCCGAUCUUCCGAAAGGUUCUAGUAACUAUCAAUUUGGUGGAAACGAGACCCAAAUCAAUCCACCUUGCGAACAACGCGGUUCAAAACCCUGCAAUUCUUUUUAUUUUUUUUGAUAUUUUUCUUUUAUUUAGGAGCACUCAAGAAGUAACCACAGGAAAUUUGAGCUUAAACAAGUGAAAGACAUGGCCUGUGGAAUUUUUGGAAGAUUGCGAAAAAUAUAAAAAAAACUUUAGGAGGUGAAAACUCAAACUUCAGGGGCAAAUUUGGGGAUUCUAAAAUAAUCGAACCCACCUCUAGCAGAGAUAGACAGAUCCAAAAAUUUGUUCUGAUCGACUUUGAUAUAUGGAACGUCAAAAUCGGAGUUCGUAUGAGAAAGUUAUGGUUGUUUUACGAACGGACUCCGAAUUAGAGGACAAAACGGUCCGGGAGUGGGAAAAAUUUGUGGUGGUGGUUAGAAAUUGAUGGAAACGGUGGGAAAAAACAUACAAACUGGACUCUAACAAGACCAAAUCAGUAACAGGACCUCGACCAGGACACAAACUCAACACUACGGACUCUGAAACUGAAAUAUGCAAAGGUUAUGGCGCGCAUGGGUUAUAGGACAUGAAAACAAUUUGGCACUAGACUUAUGGGACGAACACAAGGACACUCGAAACUAAGGGUAGAUGUGAACCUAACGGUACGUCUGAAGCUUUGAUUACCACUUGAGGAGAACAAGGCCCGAUCUUCCGAAAGGUUCUGGUAACUGUCGAUUUGGUUGAAACGAGACACAAAUCAAUCCAGUUUGCGAACAACACGAUUCGAAACCCUACAAUUCUUUUUAUUGAUAUUUUUCUUUUACUUAGGAGCACUGAAGAAGUAACCACAAGAAAUUUGAGCUUAAACAAGUGAAGGACGUGGCCUGUGGAAUUUUUUGAAGAUUGCGAAAAAUAUGAAAAUAAAGUUUAGGAGGUGAAAACUCAAAUUUUCAGAGGCGAGUAUGGGAAUUCUAAAUUUGUCGCACCGGCCUAUGGCGGGGAUAGACAGAUCCAAAAAAUUUUCUGAUCGAUUUUGAUAUAUGGAACGUCAAAAUCGGAGUUCGUAGGCGAAAGUUAUGGCUGCUUUACGAACGGACUCUGAAUUAUAGGACAAAACGGUCCGGAAGUGGGAAAAAUUUGCGGUGGUGGCUAGAAAUUAAUGGAAACGGUGGGAAAAACACACAAACUGGACUCUAACAAGACCAAAUUAGUAACAAGACCUCGACCAGGACACAAACUCAACACGGACUAUGAAACUGAAAUAUGCAAAGGUUAUGGCGCGGAUGGGUUGUAGGACAUGAAAACAAUUUGGCACUAGACUUAUGGGACGAACACAAGGACACUCGAAACUAAGGGUAGAUGUGAACCUAACGGUACGUCUGAAGCUUUGAUUACCACUUGAGGAGAACAAGGCCCGAUCUUCCGAAAGGUUCUGGUAACUAUCAAUUUGGUGGAAACGAGACACAAAUUAAUCCAGUUUGCGAACAACACGAUUCCAAACCCUGCAAUUCUUUUUAUUUUUUUUGAUAUUUUUUUUUACUUCGGAGCACUCAAGAAGUAACCACAGAAAAUUUGAGCUUAAACAAGUGAAGGACGUGGCCUGUGGAAUUUUUUGAAGAUUGCGAAAAAUAUGAAAAUAAAGUUUAGGAGGUGAAAACUCAAAUUUUCAGAGGCGAGUUUGGGAAGUCUAAAUUUGUCGCACCCGCCUAUGGUGGGGAUAGACAGAUCCAAAAAUUUUUCUGAUCGAUUUUGAUAUAUGGAACGUCAAAAUCAGAGUUCGUAGGCGAAAGUUAUGGCUGUUUUACGAACGGACUCUGAAUUAGAGGACAAAACGGUCCGGAAGUGGGAAAAUUUUGCGGUGGUGGCUAUAAAUUGAUGGAAACGGUGGGAAGAAACACACAAAUUGGACUCUAACAAGAUCUAACCAGUAACAAGAUCUCGACUAGGACACAAAAUCAACACUACAGACUCUGAAACUGAAAUAUGCAAAGGCUAUGGCGCGGAUGGGUUGUAGGACAUGAAAACAAUAUAGCACUAGACUUAUGGGACGAACACAAGGACACUCGAAACUAAGGAUAGAUGUGAACCUAACGGUACGUCUGAAGCUUUGAUUAACACUUGAGGAGAACAAGUGUGGCCCGAUCUUGCGAAAGGUUCUAGUAACUAUCAAUUUGGUGGAAACGAGACCCAAAUCAAUCCAUCUUGCGAACAACGCGGUUCGAAACUCUGCAAUUCUUUUUAUUUUUUUUUGAUAUUUUUAUUUUACUUAGGAGCACUCAAGAAGUAACCAUAGGAAAUUUGAGCUUAAACAAGUGAAAGACUUGGCCUGUGGAAUUUUUUGAAGAUUGCGAAAAAUAUAAAAAAACAUUAGGAGGUGAAAACUCAAACUUCAGGAGCGAAUUUGGGGAUUCUAAAAUUAUCGAACCCACCUCUAGCGGAGAUAGACAGAUCCAAAAAUUUGUUGUGAUCGAUUCUGAUAUAUGGAACGUCAAUAUCGGAGUUCGUAUGCGAAAGUUAUGGCUGUUUUACGAACGGACUCCGAAUUAGAGGACAAAACGGUCCGGAAGUGGGAAAAAUUUGUGGUGGUGGCUAGAAAUUGAUGGAAACGGUGGGAAAAAACACACAAACUGGACUCUAACAAGACCAAAUCAGUAACAAGACCUCGACCAGGACACAAACUCAACACUACGGACUCUGAAACUGAAAUAUGCAAAGGUUAUGGCGCGGAUGGGUUGUAGGACAUAAAAAUAAUUUGGCACUAGACUUAUGGGAGGAACACAAGGACACUCAAAACUAAGGGUAGAUGUGAACCUAACGGUACGUCUCAAGCUUUGAUUACCACUUGAGGAGAACAAGGCCCGAUCUUCCGAAAGGUUCUGGUUACUAUCGAUUUGGUGGAAACGAGACACAAAUCAAUCCAGUUUGCGAACAACACGAUUCGAAACCCUACAAUUCUUUUUUUUGAUAUUUUUCUUUUAAUUAGGAGCACUCAAGAAGUAACCACAAGAAAUUUGAGCUUAAACAAGUGAAGGACGUGGCCUUUGGAAUUUUUUGAAGAUUGCGAAAAAUAUGAAAAUAAAGUUUAGGAGGUGAAAACUCAAAUUUUCAGAGGCGAGUUUGGGAAUUCUAAAUUUGUCGCACCCGCCUAUGGCGGGGAUAGACAAAUCCAAAAAUUUUUCUGAUCGACUUUGAUAUAUGGAACGUCAAAAUCGGAGUUCGUAGGCGAAAGUUAUGGCUGUUUUACGAACGGACUCUGAAUUAGAGGACAAAACGGUGCGGAAGUGGGAAAAAAUUGCGGUGGUGGCUAGAAAUUGAUGGAAACGGUGGGAAAAACACACAAACUGGACUCUAACAAGACCAAAUUAGUAACAAGACCUCGACCAAGACACAAACUCAACACUACGGACUAUGAAACUCAAAUAUGCAAAGGUUAUGGCGCGGAUGGGUUGUAGGACAUGAAAACAAUUUGGCACUAGACUUAUGGGACGAACGCAAGGACACUCGAAACUAAGGGUAGAUGUGAACCUAACGGUACGUCUGAAGCUUUGAUUACCACUUGAGGAGAACAAGGCCCGAUCUUCCGAAAGGUUCUGGUAACUAUCGAUUUCAUGGAAACGAGACACAAAUUAAUCCAGUUUGCGAACAACACGAUUCGAAACCCUGCAAUUCUUUUUAUUUUUUUGAUAUUUUUCUUUUACUUAGGAGCACUCAAGAAGUAACCACAGGAAAUUUGAGCUUAAACAAGUGAAGGACGUGGCCUGUGGAAUUUUUUGAAGAUUGCGAAAAAUAUGAAAAUAAAGUUUAGGAGGUGAAAACUCAAAUUUUCAGAGGCGAGUUUGGGAAUUCUAAAUUUGUCGCACCCGCCUAUGGUGGGGCUAGACAGAUCCAAAAAUUUUUCUGAUCGAUUUUGAUAUAUGAAACGUCAAAAUCAGAGUUCGUAGGCGAAAGUUAUGGCUGUUUUACGAACGGACUCUGAAUUAGAGGACAAAACGGUCCGGAAGUGGGAAAAUUUUGUGGUGGUGGCUAUAAAUUGAUGGAAACGGUGGGAAGAAACACACAAAUUGGACUCUAACAAGACCUAACCAGUAACAAGAUCUCGACCAGGACACAAACUCAACACUACAGACUCUGAAACUGAAAUAUGCAAAGGCUAUGGCGCGGAUGGGUUGUAGGACAUGAAAACAAUAUAGCACUAGACUUAUGGGACGAACACAAGGACACUCGAAACUAAGUAUAGAUGUGAACCUAACGGUACGUCUGAAGCUUUGAUUAACACUUGAGGAGAACAAGUGUGGCCCGAUCUUCCGAAAGGUUCUAGUAACUAUCAAUUUGGUGGAAACGAGACCCAAAUCAAUCCAUCUUGCGAACAACGCGGUUCGAAACCCUGCAAUUCUUUUUAUUUUUUUUGAUAUUUUUCUUUUACUUAGGAGCACUCAAGAAGUAACCAUAGGAAACUUCAGCUUAAACAAGUGAAAGACUUGGCCUGUGGAAUUUUUUGAAGAUUGCGAAAAAUAUAAAAAAACUUUAGGAGGUGAAAACUCAAACUUUAGGAGCGAAUUUGGGGAUUCUAAAAUUAUUGAACCCACCUCUAGCGGAGAUAGACAGAUCUAAAAAUUUGUUGUGAUCGAUUUUGAUAUAUGGAACGUCAAUAUCGGAGUUCAUAUGCGAAAGUUAUGGCUGUUUUACGAACGGACUCCAAAUUAGAGGACAAACGGAAGUGGGAAAAAUUUGUGGUGGUGGCUAGAAAUUGAUGGAAACGGUGGGAAAAAACACACAAACUGGACUCUAACAAGACCAAAUCAGUAACAAGACCUCGACCAGGACAGAAACUCAACACUACGGACUCUGAAACUGAAAUAUGCAAAGGUUAUGGCGCGGAUGGGUUGUAGGACAUGAAAACAAUUUGGCACUAGACUUAUGGGAGGAACACAAGGACACUCGAAACUAAGGGUAGAUGUGAACCUAACAGUACGUCUGAAGCUUUGAUUACCACUUGAGGAGAACAAGGCCCGAUCUUCCGAAAGCUUCCGGUAACUAUCGAUUUGGUGGAAACGGGACACAAAUCAAUCCAGUUUGCGAACAACACGAUUCGAAACCCUGCAAUUCUUUUUUUUGAUAUUUUUCUUUUACUUAAGAGCACUGAAGAAGUAACCACAAGAAAUUUGAGCUUAAACAAGUGAACGACGUGGCCUGUGGAAUUUUUUGAAGAUUGCGAAAAAUAUGAAAAUAAAGUUUAGGAGGUGAAAACUCAAAUUUUCAGAGGCGAGUUUGGGAAUUCUAAAUUCGUCGCACCCGCCUAUGGCUGGGAUAGACAGAUCCAAAAUUUUUUCUGAUCGAUUUUGAUAUAUGGAACGUCAAAAUCGGAGUUCGUAGGCGAAAGUUAUGGCUGUUUUACGAACGGACUACGAAUUAGGGGACAAAACAGUCCGGAAGUAGGAAAAUUUUGCGGUGGUGGCUAUAAAUUGAUGGAAAGGGUGGGAAGAAACACACAAAUUGGACUCUAACAAGAUCUAACCAGUAACAUGAUCUCGACUAGGACACAAACUCAACACUACGGGCUCUGAAACUGAAAUAUGCAAAGGCUGUGGCGCGGAUGGGGUGUAGGACAUGAAAACAAUAUAGCACUAGGCUUAUGGGACGAACACAAGGACACUCGAAACUAAGGAUAGAUAUGAACCUAACGGUACGUCUGGAGCUUUGAUUAACACUUGAGGAGAACAAGUGUGGCCCGAUCUUCCGAAAGGUUCUAGUAACUAUCAGUUUUGUGGAAACGAGACCCAAAUCAAUCCAUCUUGCGAACAACACGGUUCGAAACUAUGCAAUUUUUUUUUUGAUAUUUUUCUUUUACUUAGGAGCACUCAAGAAGUAACCAUAGGAAAUUUGAGCUUAAACAAGUGAAAGACUUGGCCUGUGAAAUUUUUUGAAGAUUACGAAGAAUAUAAAAAAACUUUAGGAGGUGAAAACUCAAACUUCAGGGGCGAAUUUGGGGAUUCUAAAAUUAUCGAACCCACCUCUAGCAAAGAUAGACAGAUCCAAAAAUUUGUUCUGAUCGAUUUUGAUAUAUGGAACGUCAAUAUCGGAGUUCCUAUGCGAAAGUUAUGGCUGUUUUACGAACGGACUCUGAAUUAGAGGACAAAACGGUCCGGAAGUGGGAAAAUUUUACGGUGGUGGCUAUAAAUUGAUGGAAACGGUGGGAAGAAACACACAAAUUGGACUCUAACAAGACCUAACCAGUAACACUGAAACUGAAAUAUGUAAAGGCUAUGGCGCGGAUGGGUUGUAGGACAUGAAAACAAUAUAGCACUAGACUUAUGGGACGGACAUAAGGACACUCGAAACUAAGGAUAGAUAUGAACCUAACGGUACGUCUGAAGCUUUGAUUAACACUUGAGGAGAACAAGUGUGGCCCGAUCUUCCGAAAGGUUCUAGUAACUAUCAAUUUGGUGGAAACGAGACCCAAAUCAAUCCAUCUUGCGAACAACGCGAUUCGAAACCCUGCAAUUCUUUUUAUUUUUUUUGAUAUUUUUCUUUUACUUAGGAGCACUCAAGAAGUAACCAUAGGAAAUUUGAGCUUAAACAAGUGAAGGACGUGGCCUGUGGAAUUUUUUGAAGAUUGCGAAAAAUAUAAAAAAACUUUAGGAGGUGAAGACUCAAACUUCAGGGGCGAAUUUGGGGAUUCUAAAAUUAUCGAACCCACCUCUAGCAGAGAUAGACAGAUCCAAAAAUUUGUUCUGAUCGAUUUUGAUAUAUGGAACGUCAAUAUCGGAGUUCGUAUGCGAAAGUUAUGACUGUUUUACGAACGGACUCCGAAUUAGAGGACAAAACGGUCCGGAAGUGGGAAAAAUUUGUGGUGGUGGCUAGAAAUUGAUGGAAACGGUGGGAAAAAACACACAAACUGGACUCUAACAAGACCAAAUCAGUAACAAGACCUCGACCAGGACACAAACUCAACACUACGGAAUCUGAAACUGAAAUAUGCAAAGGUUAUGGCGCGGAUGGGUUGUAGGACAUGAAAACAAUUUGGCACUAGACUUAUGGGAGGAACACAAGGACACUCGAAACUAAGGGUAGAUGUGAACCUAACAGUACGUCUGAAGCUUUGAUUACCACUUGAGGAGAACAAGGCCCGAUCUUCCGAAAGGUUCUUUUAACUAUCGAUUUCGUGGAAACGAGACACAAAUCAAUCCAGUUUGCGAACAACACGAUUCGAAACCCUACAAUUCUUUUUUUUGAUAUUUUUCUUUUACUUAGGAGCACUGAAGAAGUAACCACAAGAAAUUUGAGCUUAAACAAGUGAAGGACGUGGCCUGUGGAAUUUUUUGAAGAUUGCGAAAAAUAUGAAAAUAAAGUUUAGGAGGUGAAAACUCAAAUUUUCAGAGGCGAGUUUGGGAAUUCUAAAUUCGUCGCACCCGCCAAUGGCUGGGAUAGAUAGAUCCAAAAAUUUUUCUGAUCGAUUUUGAUAUAUGGAACGUCAAAAUCGGAGUUCGUAGGCGAAAGUUAUGGCUGUUUUACGAACGGACUCCGAAUUAGGGGACAAAACAGUCCGGAAGUGGGAAAAUUUUGCGGUGGUGGCUAUAAAUUGAUGGAAAGGGUGGGAAGAAACACACAAAUUGGACUCUAACAAGACCUAACCAGUAACAAGAUCUCGACCAGGUCACAAACUCAACACUACGGACUCUGAAACUGAAAUAUGCAAAGGCUAUGGCGCGGAUGGGUUGUAGGACAUGAAAACAAUAUAGCACUAGACUUAUGGGACGAACACAAGGACACUCGAAACUAAGGAUAGAUAUGAACCUAACGGUACGUCUGAAGCUUUGAUUAACAUUUGAGGAGAACAAGUGUGGCCCGAUCUUCCGAAAGGUUCUAGUAACUAUCAAUUUUGUGGAAACGAGACCCAAAUCAAUCCAUCUUGCGAACAACACGGUUCGAAACUAUGCAAUUUUUUUUUUGAUAUUUUUCUUUUACUUAGGAGCACUCAAGAAGUAACCAUAGGAAAUUUGAGCUUAAACAAGUGAAAGACUUGGCCUGUGAAAUUUUUUGAAGAUUACGAAGAAUAUAAAAAAACUUUAGGAGGUGAAAACUCAAACUUCAGGGGCGAAUUUGGGGAUUCUAAAAUUAUCGAACCCACCUCUAGCAAAGAUAGACAGAUCCAAAAAUUUGUUCUGAUCGAUUUUGAUAUAUGGAACGUCAAUAUCGGAGUUCCUAUGCGAAAGUUAUGGCUGUUUUACGAACGGACUCUGAAUUAGAGGACAAAACGGUCCGGAAGUGGGAAAAUUUUACGGUGGUGGCUAUAAAUUGAUGGAAACGGUGGGAAAAAACACACAAACUGGACUCUAACAAGACCAAAUCAGUAACAAGACCUCGACCAGGACACAAACUCAACACUACGGACUCUGAAACUGAAAUAUGCAAAGGUUAUGGCGCGGAUGGGUUGUAGGACAUGAAAACAAUUUGGCACUAGACUUAUGGGACGAACACAAGGACACUCGAAACUAAGGGUAGAUGUCAACCUAACGGUACGUCUGAAGCUUUGAUUACCACUUGAGGAGAACAAGGCCCGAUCUUCCGAAAGGUUCUGGUAACUAUCGAUUUGGUGGAAACGAGACACAAAUCAAUCCAGUUUGCGAACAACACGAUUCGAAACCUUGCAAUUCUUUUUUUUUUGAUAUUUUUCCUUUUACUUAGGAGCACUGAAGAAGUAACCACAAGAAAUUUGAGCUUAAACAAGUGAAGGACGUGGCCUGUGGAAUUUUUUGAAGAUUGCGAAAAAUAUGAAAAUAAAGUUUAGGAGGUGAAAACUCAAAUUUUCAGAGGCGAGUUUAGGAAUUCUAAAUUUGUCGCACCCGCCUAUGGCAGGGAUAGACAGAUCCAAAAAUUUUUCUGAUCGAUUUUGAUAUAUGGAACGUCAAAAUCGGAGUUCGUAGGCGAAAGUUAUGGCUCUUUUACGAACGGACUCAGAAUUAGAGGACAAAACGGUCCGGAAGUGGGAAAAAUUUGCGGUGGCGGCUAGAAAUUGAUGGAAACGGUGGGAAAAACACACAAACUGGACUCUAACAAGACCAAAUUAGUAACAAGACCUCGACCAGGACACAAACUCAACACUACGGACUAUGAAACGGAAAUAUGCAAAGGUUAUGGCGCGGAUGGGUUGUAGGACAUGAAAACAAUUUGGCACUAGACUUAUGGGACGAACACAAGGACACUCGAAACUAAGGGUAGAUGUGAACCUAACGGUACGUCUGAAGCUUUGAUUACCACUUGAGGAGAACAAGGCCCGAUCUUCCGAAAGGGUCUGGUAACUAUCGAUUUGGUGGAAACGAGACACAAAUUAAUCCAGUUUGCGAACAACACGAUUCGAAACCCGGCAAUUCUUUUUAUUUUUUUUGAUAUUUUUCUUUUACUUAGGAGCACUCAAGAAGUAACCACAAGAAAUUUGAGCUUAAACAAGUGAAGGACGUGGCCUGUGGAAUUUUUUGAAGAUUGCGAAAAAUAUGAAAAUAAAGUUUAGGAGGUGAAAACUCAAAUUUUUCAGAGGCGAGUUUGGGAAUUCUAAAUUUGUCGCACCCGCCUAUGGUGGGGAUAGACAGAUCCAAAAAAUUUUCUGAUCGAUUUUGAUAUAUGGAACGUCAAAAUCAGAGUUCGUAGGCCAAAGUUAUGGCUGUUUUACGAACGGACUCUGAAUUAGAGGACAAAACGGUCCGGAAGUGGGAAAAUUUUACGGUGGUGGCUAUAAAUUGAUGGAAACGGUGGGAAGAAACACACAAAUUGGACUCUAACAAGACCUAACCAGUAACAAGAUCUCGACCAGGACACAAACUCAACACUACGGACUCUGAAACUGAAAUAUGCAAAGGCUAUGGCGCGGAUGGGUUGUAGGACAUGAAAACAAUAUAGCACUAGACUUAUGGGACGAACACAAGGACACUCGAAACUAAGGAUAGAUAUGAACCUAACGGUACGUCUGAAGCUUUGAUUAACACUUGAGGAGAACAAGUAUGGCCCGAUCUUCCGAAACGUUCUAGUAACUAUCAAUUUGGUGGAAACGAGACCCAAAUCAAUCCAUCUUGCGAACAACGCGGUUCGAAACCCUGCAAAUCUUUUUAUUUAUUUUUUUUGAUAUUUUUAUUUUACUUAGGAGCACUCAAGAAGUAACCAUAGAAAUUUUGAGCUUAAACAAGUGAAAGACUUGGCCUGUGGAAUUUUUUGAAGAUUGCGAAAAAUAAAAAAAACUUUAGGAGGUGAAAACUCAAAUUUCAGGGGCGAAUUUGGGGAUUCUAAAAUUAUCGAACCCACCUCUAGCGGAGAUAGACAGAUCCAAAAAUUUGUUCUGAUCGAUUAUGAUAUAUGGAACGUCAAUAUCGGAGUUCGUAUGCGAAAGUUAUGACUGUUUUACGAACGGACUCCGAAUUAGAGGACAAAACGGUCCGGAAGUGGGAAAAAUUUGUGGUGGUGGCUAGAAAUUGAUGGAAACGGUGGGAAAAAACACACAAACUGGACUCUAACAAGACCAAAUCAGUAACAAGACCUCGACCAGGACACAAACUCAACACUACGGAAUCUGAAACUGAAAUAUGCAAAGGUUAUGGCGCGGAUGGGUUGUAGGACAUGAAAACAAUUUGGCACUAGACUUAUGGGAGGAACACAAGGACACUCGAAACUAAGGGUAGAUGUGAACCUAACAGUACGUCUGAAGCUUUGAUUACCACUUGAGGAGAACAAGGCCCGAUCUUCCGAAAGGUUCUUUUAACUAUCGAUUUCGUGGAAACGAGACACAAAUCAAUCCAGUUUGCGAACAACACGAUUCGAAACCCUACAAUUCUUUUUUUUGAUAUUUUUCUUUUACUUAGGAGCACUGAAGAAGUAACCACAAGAAAUUUGAGCUUAAACAAGUGAAGGACGUGGCCUGUGGAAUUUUUUGAAGAUUGCGAAAAAUAUGAAAAUAAAGUUUAGGAGGUGAAAACUCAAAUUUUCAGAGGCGAGUUUGGGAAUUCUAAAUUCGUCGCACCCGCCAAUGGCUGGGAUAGAUAGAUCCAAAAAUUUUUCUGAUCGAUUUUGAUAUAUGGAACGUCAAAAUCGGAGUUCGUAGGCGAAAGUUAUGGCUGUUUUACGAACGGACUCCGAAUUAGGGGACAAAACAGUCCGGAAGUGGGAAAAUUUUGCGGUGGUGGCUAUAAAUUGAUGGAAAGGGUGGGAAGAAACACACAAAUUGGACUCUAACAAGACCUAACCAGUAACAAGAUCUCGACCAGGUCACAAACUCAACACUACGGACUCUGAAACUGAAAUAUGCAAAGGCUAUGGCGCGGAUGGGUUGUAGGACAUGAAAACAAUAUAGCACUAGACUUAUGGGACGAACACAAGGACACUCGAAACUAAGGAUAGAUAUGAACCUAACGGUACGUCUGAAGCUUUGAUUAACACUUGAGGAGAACAAGUAUGGCCCGAUCUUCCGAAACGUUCUAGUAACUAUCAAUUUGGUGGAAACGAGACCCAAAUCAAUCCAUCUUGCGAACAACGCGGUUCGAAACCCUGCAAAUCUUUUUAUUUAUUUUUUCUGAUAUUUUUAUUUUACUUAGGAGCACUCAAGAAGUAACCAUAGAAAUUUUGAGCUUAAACAAGUGAAAGACUUGGCCUGUGGAAUUUUUUGAAGAUUGCGAAAAAUAAAAAAAACUUUAGGAGGUGAAAACUCAAAUUUCAGGGGCGAAUUUGGGGAUUCUAAAAUUAUCGAACCCACCUCUAGCGGAGAUAGACAGAUCCAAAAAUUUGUUCUGAUCGAUUAUGAUAUAUGGAACGUCAAAAUCGGAAUUCGUAUGCGACAGUUAUGGCUGUUUUACGAACGGACUCCGAAUUAGAGGACAAACAGUCCGGAAGUGGGAAACAUUUGCGGCGGUGCCUAUAAAUUGAUGGAAACGGUGGGAAGAAACACACAAAUUUGACUCUAACAAGACCUAGCCAGUAACACUGAAACUGAAAUAUGCAAAGGUUAUGGCGCGGAUGGGUUGUAGGACAUGAAAACAAUAUAGCACUAGACUUAUGGGAUGAACAUAAAGACACUCGAAACUAAGGAUAGAUAUGAACCUAACGGUACGUCUGAAGCUUUGAUUAACACUUGAGGAGAACAAGUGUGGCCCGAUCUUCCGAAAGGUUCUAGUAACUAUCAAUUUGGUGGAAACGAGACCCAAAUCAAUCCAUCUUGCGAACAACGCGGUUCGAAACCCUGCAAUUCUAUUUUUUUUUUGAUAUUUGUCUUUUACUUAGGAGCACUCAAGAAGUAACCAUAGGAAAUUUGAGCUUAAACAAGUGAAAGACUUGGCCUGUGGAAUUUUUUUAAGAUUGUGAAAAAUAUAAAAAAACUUUAGGAGAUGAAAACUCAAACUUCAGGGGCGAAUUUGGGGAUUCUAAAAUUAUCGAACCCACCUCUAGUGGAGAUAGACAGAUCCAAAAAUUUGUUCUGAUCGAUUUUGAUAUAUGGAACGUCAAUAUCGGAGUUCGUAUGCGAAAGUUAUGGCUGUUUUACGAACGGACUCCGAAUUAGAGGACAAAACGGUCCGGAAGUGGGAAAAAUUUGUGGUGGUGGCUAGAAAUUAAUGGAAACGGUGGGAAAAAACACACAAACUGGACUCUAACAAGACCAAAUCAGUAACAAGACCUCGACCAGGACACAAACUCAACACUACGGACUCUAAAACUGAAAUAUGCAAAGGUUAUGGCGCGGAUGGGUUGUAGGACAUGAAAACAAUUUGGCACUAGACUUAUGGGACGAACACAAGGACACUCGAAACUAAGGAUAGAUGUGAACCUAACGGUACGUCUGAAGCUUUGAUUACCACAUGAGGAGAACAAGGCCCGAUCUUCCGAAAGGUUCUGGUAACUAUCGAUUUGGUGGAAACGAGACACAAAUCAAUCCAGUUUGCGAACAACACGAUUCGAAACCCUGCAAUUCUUUUUUUUGAUAUUUUUCUUUUACUUAGGAGCACUCAAGAAGUAACCACAGGAAAUUUGAGCUUGAACAAGUGAAGGACGUGGCCUGUGGAAUUUUUUGAAGAUUGCGAAAAUAUGAAAAGAAAGUUUAGGAGGUGAAAACUCAAAUUUUCAGAGGCGAGUUUAGGAAUUCUAAAUUUGUCGCACCUGCCUAUGGCGGGGAUAGACAGAUCCAAAAAUUUUUCUGAUCGAUUUUGAUAUAUGGAACGUCAAAAUCGGAGUUUGUAGGCGAAAGUUAUGGCUGUUUUAUGAACGGACUCUGAAUUAGAGGACAAAACGGUCCGGAAGUGGGAAAAAUUUGCGGUGGUGGCUAGAAAUUGAUGGAAACGGUGGGAAAAACACACAAACUGGACUCUAACAAGACCAAAUUAGUAACAAGACCUUGACCAGGACACAAACUCAACACUACGGACUAUGAAACUGAAAUAUGCAAAGGUUAUGGCGCGGAUGGGUUGUAGGACAUGAAAACAAUUUGGCACUAGACUUAUGGGACGAACACAAGGACACUCGAAACUAAGGGUAGAUGUGAACCUAAUGGUACGUCUGAAGCUUUGAUUACCACUUGAGGAGAACAAGGCCCGAUCUUGCGAAAGGUUCUGGUAACUAUCGAUUUGGUGGAAACGAGACACAAAUUAAUCCAGUUUGCGAACAACACGAUUCGAAACCCUACAAUUCUUUUUAUUUUUUUGAUAUUUUUAUUUUACUUAGGAGCACUCAAGAAGUAACCACAAGAAAUUUGAGCUUAAACAAGUGAAGGACGUGGCCUGUGGAAUUUUUUGAAGAUUGCGAAAAAUAUAAAAAUAAAGUUUAGGAGGUGAAAACUCAAAUUUUCAGAGGCGAGUUUGGGAAUUCUAAAUUUGUCGCACCCGCCUAUGGUGGGGAUAGACAGAUCCAAAAAUUUUUCUGAUCAAUUUUGAUAUAUGGAACGUUAAAAUCAGUGUUCGUAGGCGAAAGUUAUGGCUGUUUUACGAACGGACUCUGAAUUAGAGGACAAAACGGUCCGGAAGUGGGAAAAAUUUGCGGUGGUGGCUAGAAAUUGAUGGAAACGGUGGGAAAAACACACAAACUGGACUCUAACAAGACCAAAUUAGUAACAAGACCUCGACCAGGACACAAACUCAACACUACGGACUAUGAAACUGAAAUAUGCAAAGGUUAUGGAGCGGAUGGGUUGUAGGACAUGAAAACAAUUUGGCACUAGACUUAUGGGACGAACACAAGGACACUCGAAACUAAGGGUAGAUGUGAACCUAACGGUGCGUCUGAAGCUUUGAUUACCACUUGAGGAGAACAAGGCCCGAUCUUCCGAAAGGUUUUGGUAACUAUCGAUUUGGUGGAAACAAGACACAAAUUAAUCCAGUUUGCGAACAACACGAUUAGAAACCCUGCAAUUCUUUUUAUUUUUUUUAUUUGAUAUUUUUGUUUUACUUAGGAGCACCGAACAAGUAGCCACAGGAAAUUUGAGCUUAAACAAGUGAAAGACGUUGCCUGUGGAAUUUUUUUAGAUUGCGAAAAAUAUGAAAAUAAACUUUAGGAGGUGAAAACUCAAAUUUAAAGGC